GCUAGUUAUAAAUAACUCCACCAUGCAUUGUUUUGUUAUAUCUCGAGGGAUUAUACAAUGUUUUCAACAAAAACUCCCAGGCGGCUUAACUUUUUCCGACACUUUCUACAAUUAUCGUGAUAUUUUUACCGAUUUAUAUAUAAAACCUUGAUAAACCUUUGUUGAAAAUCACUAUGAAAAUCCGUUCAGUAGUCUUUUAGUUAAUUGCGAACAGACAAACUGAGGCGGCGGAGGACUUUUAUAAUAUGUAUAGGUAGGUGAUAAAAAGAGUUACCUAGAUAGCCAGUCUAGAUUUAACAUUAUAAUGAAGUGGGUGCCUUAAUAAAUAACGGUAAAAUAAAUACAACGUAUGGAACAAACUUUAACAAAAUGCGUUUAGCCAUUUUUGCGUGAUUAAACAACUAUAUAAACUUAUGAUAAUAAUCUGUAUUCUAAACAUGUAAGGGUAUUCAAAACAAAACACCUUUUUUAGUAAGAAAAACUCAAUAUAAGUGAAAGUUAUCGAUAUUCGGAAUCAAUUAACAAAAUCAAAAACUACGCGGUUUGAAUAAUUAUAUCACCUAACCCCAAUCCAUAACCUCUGAGCCUGUUUUCCUUUAUUCAAUUCACAGUUUAGCCCCGUCGCGCGCGUAGGGCGGGCGGGCGGACGGUUGUUCGUAGCUGCCUACGUAGCUUCUUUUGUCUCAUUUAAAUUAACCUGAAUUACGAGGAUUUAUUUCAAUUGAAUUGGUAUUUAAAUUCUGUUUUGUAUUAUUUGAGACCAGUCUUCACUAGGUGGAAAGCAGUAUGCUGCUGCUUGCGCUGUGUCUCCUGCGCUGGCCGGGCGCGUCCGUCGCAGCGCAGUGCGAGCGCGCGCCGCCGCACGCGCAGCCGACCGACGUGCACUACAAGCUGAGCGUGGCGGGCGACCCCGACUUCUUCCUACCAGGAGAACUUUAUAUUGUAUCAGUCCAAGGAGUAGACAGCGGACAAGGGCCGACGCCAUUCGGAAGUUUCGCCAUAUGGUCCGAAAUAGUGGAGAAUGAUGAGAAAACCAACACCACUAAAGUUGUCAACUCCCAUUCCCUCGGGACAUUCCAAGCGUACGACGCACAAACUAAACCUCACGAAAAUUGCAAGACAGCCGUUGACAAUGCCACCGCACAUCCUAAAACCGAAGUACAGGUGAUCUGGAGCGCACCAACAAUCGCUGUGGACUCGUGCGUGCGACUGUGCGCCCGCGCUACGCAGACCGAAGGCAGCAGAAGCUCCGUGCUGGCGCGCAAGCUGUGCCCCGCGCCGGUCACCGCCACCCUCAGCAGACAGCCGCCCAUCGUCGAGCCUUGCUGUGCUUGCGACGAAGCCAAGUAUGAGGUGACUUUCGAAGGGCUGUGGUCUCGCAACACUCACCCCCGCGAGUUUCCCCCCGAGGGAGCGCGGGCGCAUUUCGGUGACGUCAUAGGCGCCUCUCACAACGCGCAGUACCGCGUGUGGCAAGAGGGAAGAGUGGCUAGCAUGGGCUUGCGGCGCUUAGCGGACGAUGGUACCACCACAGCUUUGGAAAAAGAACUGAAGGCAGAGAGCGAUCGUAUCCGCACAAUAAUCAAAGCGCGCGGCAUAUCGUGGCAGCAAGUCGCCGGCGCGGGCAUGCCGAGCACCUUCGCAGUCUUCCGUGUGGACGCCAGGCAUCACCUCGUGUCUCUCGCUGCCAAGAUAGCACCGUCACCCGACUGGAUCGUAGGCGUUUCAGCCUUGGAGCUCUGCAACGCGAAUUGCACUUGGAGAAGAGCGGCCAUUUUACCUCUGUACCCUUAUGACGCUGGCACUGAUAAUGGCCUUAGUUAUAUGUCCCGCCGAAGUCCGACGAUUCCUCAAGCCCCCGUGCGCGCUCUGCGACCGGAGUGGCCGCGCGACGCUCGCUCGCCGUUCUACAGCUCCACGGGAGAGAUGCGGCCCAUCGCCCGCCUGCGCCUCUCACGACUACGACUCUAUGAGAAGAGCUGUGAUCUUACAGAGGUCGUCGGUGAACAAAUACCGGAAAAUGUGAUGAACAAUGGCGGGGCGUGCGCCACCCACGCGUGGGGUCCGUGGGGGGCCUGCAGCGUGUCGUGCGGCGAGGGGCGCGCGGCCCGCCAGCGACACUACGUGUGGCCAGCGAAGGCUAAGGCCGAUGCUUGCAGGGUCUCCCUCACUGAGUACCGCACCUGUCGGGGACCGAGGAUGCAUUGCAGGGUACAGUCAGAGUACGAGCCCGACCCGGCGGAAUCAUCAGGCCCGUGCGCGGUGUCGCCGUGGUCAGAGUGGUCCCCGUGCUCGGGGUGCGGCGUGCGCGCGCGCACCCGUCACUACCUGGCGCCGCGCGCUCACAAGCGAUGCCACGUGGGCUUCCGAGCGCGCACCGUCAUGAGCCAGGCCAUGCCGUGUGACGCUGGACCGUGCCUCAGACCUGGUGAUCCAAAAAACGCGACGAACUUCGAUUGGUUUUACGUAGAAAAAUCCAAAUCUGAUUGCAUAAUAACGCCAUGGGGUAGCUGGUCCCCAUGCUCCGCGCGCUGUGGUCGCGGCAAGAGAAUUCGUACUCGUCUCUAUGUGUCACAAAAUGCACAGGUCCAACAGGAGCUUACUCGGCGACUCUUGACCAAUUGGAAUCAACGAUUUGCUGAAUUGCAGAAUAUCGAACUGCCGUUUGAAAAUGUCACAAGCGAGGAUCCUAAAUUAGAGUCUCAAGUACUGGAGCACUUAGACCGCUGUCAGUUUACGCUGACUCAGCAAGAAGCUCUGUGUGAUGGAGAGGACAUCAACUGUGAAAACGAGACAGUUACAGAAGAAAUAUGUAAGCUGCCGAUGUCCGUGGGACCUUGUCGUGGGUAUGAAGAGCGGUGGUUCUACGACUCGUCGCGCGGACACUGUGAGCCUUUCGGGUUCACGGGCUGCGGUGGCAACGCUAACAACUUUCGCAACAGAGACACGUGCGCCAGAAUGUGCAAUACUACGAAUGUCACAAUAACGUCAUCACUCAUAGAAGCAAGCACAAAGAGGGUGAAACCAACCCCAUCAACGGACGACAAUGAAGUGAUGCCGAAUGAUGCAUCGCCUCCUGUUUUGUUUCCGACGCGGGUGGGCGGCUCCGGUAGACGUCGACUGUGAGAUGGGUCCGUGGCUGGGAUGGAGCGAGUGUUUCGGCGAAUGCGACUUCGCAGUCAAACUCAAUUACCGACACAUUCUCCAUCAUCCCUCUGGAUCAGGAAAACCGUGUCACAAGGUAAUGAAAAGUCGCUCAUGUAAACCAGCACAUUGCAGGAGACUUCUUUUAAACGUGUACAAUUCCUCUGAAACUUACAAUAGCGAUGAACGUGACGACUAAAUA
Bicyclus anynana (squinting bush brown) is the source of this 3346-nucleotide RNA transcript. It is a transcript of the gene named spondin-1, with no coding region annotated. The record is from RefSeq and is a predicted model, not a curated record. The transcript is spliced from 16 exons. Lineage: Eukaryota; Metazoa; Arthropoda; Insecta; Lepidoptera; Nymphalidae.